CCUACGGGUGGCUGCAGUGAGGAAUAUUGGUCAAUGGACGAGAGUCUGAACCAGCCAAGUAGCGUGAAGGAUGAAUGCCCUAUGGGUUGUAAACUUCAUGUAUAAAGGAAUAAAACGAGGCACGUGUGCCUUUUUGCAUGUACGUUAUGAAUAAGGAACGGCUAACGCCGUGCCAGCAGCCGCGGUAAUACGGAGGAUCCGAGCGUUCUACAGAUUUAUUGGGUUUAAAGGGAGCGUAGAGGGGUUGUUAAGUCCGUUGUGACAGUUUGCGGCUCAACCGUAAAAUUGCAAUUGAUACUGGCAGUCUUGAGUACAGUUGAGGUAGGCGGAAUUCGUGGUGUAGCGG
This 346-nucleotide ribosomal RNA is filed under the name uncultured bacterium. RNAcentral's name for it is "partial 16S ribosomal RNA". It matches the Rfam family "Bacterial small subunit ribosomal RNA", at positions 338 to 681 of the family's 1533-position model. The record is from RNAcentral.